RNAcentral lists this ribosomal RNA (1537 nucleotides) under Streptomyces scabiei 87.22. Its description in RNAcentral is "bacterial SSU rRNA". It matches the Rfam family "Bacterial small subunit ribosomal RNA". Lineage: Bacteria; Bacillati; Actinomycetota; Actinomycetes; Kitasatosporales; Streptomycetaceae. The record is from RNAcentral.
CGGGUAAACAUUCACGGAGAGUUUGAUCCUGGCUCAGGACGAACGCUGGCGGCGUGCUUAACACAUGCAAGUCGAACGAUGAACCACUUCGGUGGGGAUUAGUGGCGAACGGGUGAGUAACACGUGGGCAAUCUGCCCUUCACUCUGGGACAAGCCCUGGAAACGGGGUCUAAUACCGGAUACGACACUCUCGGGCAUCCGAUGAGUGUGGAAAGCUCCGGCGGUGAAGGAUGAGCCCGCGGCCUAUCAGCUUGUUGGUGAGGUAACGGCUCACCAAGGCGACGACGGGUAGCCGGCCUGAGAGGGCGACCGGCCACACUGGGACUGAGACACGGCCCAGACUCCUACGGGAGGCAGCAGUGGGGAAUAUUGCACAAUGGGCGAAAGCCUGAUGCAGCGACGCCGCGUGAGGGAUGACGGCCUUCGGGUUGUAAACCUCUUUCAGCAGGGAAGAAGCGAAAGUGACGGUACCUGCAGAAGAAGCGCCGGCUAACUACGUGCCAGCAGCCGCGGUAAUACGUAGGGCGCGAGCGUUGUCCGGAAUUAUUGGGCGUAAAGAGCUCGUAGGCGGUCUGUCGCGUCGGAUGUGAAAGCCCGGGGCUUAACCCCGGGUCUGCAUUCGAUACGGGCAGACUAGAGUGUGGUAGGGGAGAUCGGAAUUCCUGGUGUAGCGGUGAAAUGCGCAGAUAUCAGGAGGAACACCGGUGGCGAAGGCGGAUCUCUGGGCCAUUACUGACGCUGAGGAGCGAAAGCGUGGGGAGCGAACAGGAUUAGAUACCCUGGUAGUCCACGCCGUAAACGGUGGGAACUAGGUGUUGGCGACAUUCCACGUCGUCGGUGCCGCAGCUAACGCAUUAAGUUCCCCGCCUGGGGAGUACGGCCGCAGGCUAAAACUCAAAGGAAUUGACGGGGCCCGCACAGGCAGCGGAGCAUGUGGCUUAAUUCGACGCAACGCGAAGAACCUUACCAAGGCUUGACAUACACCGGAAACGGCCAGAGAUGGUCGCCCCCUUGUGGUCGGUGUACAGGUGGUGCAUGGCUGUCGUCAGCUCGUGUCGUGAGAUGUUGGGUUAAGUCCCGCAACGAGCGCAACCCUUGUUCUGUGUUGCCAGCAUGCCCUUCGGGGUGAUGGGGACUCACAGGAGACUGCCGGGGUCAACUCGGAGGAAGGUGGGGACGACGUCAAGUCAUCAUGCCCCUUAUGUCUUGGGCUGCACACGUGCUACAAUGGCAGGUACAAUGAGCUGCGAAGCCGUGAGGCGGAGCGAAUCUCAAAAAGCCUGUCUCAGUUCGGAUUGGGGUCUGCAACUCGACCCCAUGAAGUCGGAGUUGCUAGUAAUCGCAGAUCAGCAUUGCUGCGGUGAAUACGUUCCCGGGCCUUGUACACACCGCCCGUCACGUCACGAAAGUCGGUAACACCCGAAGCCGGUGGCCCAACCCGUAAGGGAGGGAGCUGUCGAAGGUGGGACUGGCGAUUGGGACGAAGUCGUAACAAGGUAGCCGUACCGGAAGGUGCGGCUGGAUCACCUCCUUUCUA